This 147-nucleotide non-coding RNA is filed under the name Gorilla gorilla gorilla (western lowland gorilla). The record is from Rfam by way of RNAcentral. Lineage: Eukaryota; Metazoa; Chordata; Mammalia; Primates; Hominidae.
GCCAGGCAUGGUGGUGCAUGCCUGUAAUCCCAGCUACUCAGAGGCUGAGGCAGGAGAAUUGCUUGAACCCAGGAGGCAGAGGGUGCAGUGAGCCGAGAUCGUGCCAUUGCACUCCAGCCUGGGCGACAGAGCGAGAUUCUGUCUCAA